This 330-nucleotide ribosomal RNA is filed under the name uncultured Glomeromycotina. RNAcentral's name for it is "eukaryotic LSU rRNA". The record is from RNAcentral. Lineage: Eukaryota; Fungi; Glomeromycota.
CAGUCGUACCGACGAGAAAUCAACUCUUCGAAUGGGUAAUUGCGGGCGUAUGAGAGCUUCACGGCCUCAUCGUUUGCAAAUGCAUGUUCUUUGGGUGUACUUUUUCGUAUGGUUUGUCAACGUCGGUUUCGAUUGCUAUAAAAUGAUCGGAGGAAUGUAGCUUCGACUUCGGUUGAAGUGUUAUAGCCUUUGGUAGAUGUAGUGAUUGGGAUCGAGGAUUGCAACGAAUACCCUUUGGGCUAUCCGUCUGACCUCUGAAGGUUGCUUAGGUGCCGAAAGCGUGCUUACGGAUAUUUAAGCCAGCGUUCAAAAGGUUAGAACGUGAUUAAA